Molecule: small nuclear RNA, 104 nt
Organism: Fukomys damarensis (Damara mole-rat)
Lineage: Eukaryota; Metazoa; Chordata; Mammalia; Rodentia; Bathyergidae
Source: Ensembl
GUGUUCACUUCGGCAGCACAUAUACUAAAAUUGGAACAAUACAGAAAAGAUUAGCAUGGCCCCUGCAUAAGGACACGCAAAUUCAUGAAGCAUUCCAUAUUUUU